UACGUAGGGCGCAAGCGUUAUCCGGAAUUAUUGGGCGUAAAGAGCUCGUAGGCGGUUUGUCGCGUCUGCCGUGAAAGUCAGGGGCUCAACCCCUGGAUGCGGGUGGAUACUGCUGGGCUAGAGUCCGGAAGAGGUGAGUGGAAUUCCUGGUGUAGCGGUGAAAUGCGCAGAUAUCAGGAGGAACACCGAUGGCGAAGGCAGCUCACUGGGACGGUACUGACGCUGAGGCGCGAAAGCGUGGGGAGCAAACAGG
This 253-nucleotide ribosomal RNA is filed under the name uncultured bacterium. RNAcentral's name for it is "partial 16S ribosomal RNA". It matches the Rfam family "Bacterial small subunit ribosomal RNA", at positions 524 to 776 of the family's 1533-position model. The record is from RNAcentral.